GACGAACGCUGGCGGCGUGCUUAACACAUGCAAGUCGAGCGGUAAGGCCCCUUCGGGGGUACACGAGCGGCGAACGGGUGAGUAACACGUGAGUAAUCUGCCCUCCACUUCGGGAUAACCGCCGGAAACGGUGGCUAAUACCGGAUACGACGCGCUUUCGCAUGAGAUGCGCGUGGAAAGUUUUCUCGGUGGAGGAUGUGCUCGCGGCCUAUCAGCUUGUUGGUGAGGUAACGGCUCACCAAGGCUUCGACGGGUAGCCGGCCUGAGAGGGUGACCGGCCACACUGGGACUGAGACACGGCCCAGACUCCUACGGGAGGCAGCAGUGGGGAAUAUUGGACAAUGGGCGAAAGCCUGAUCCAGCAACGCCGCGUGAGGGAUGACGGCCUUCGGGUUGUAAACCUCUUUCAGUACCGACGAAGCGCCGAUGAAGGUGGUGACGGUAGGUACAGAAGAAGGACCGGCCAACUACGUGCCAGCCGCCGCAGUAACAC
RNAcentral lists this ribosomal RNA (493 nucleotides) under uncultured bacterium. Its description in RNAcentral is "bacterial SSU rRNA". It matches the Rfam family "Bacterial small subunit ribosomal RNA", at positions 28 to 526 of the family's 1533-position model. The record is from RNAcentral.